This 269-nucleotide ribosomal RNA is filed under the name uncultured prokaryote. Its description in RNAcentral is "partial 16S ribosomal RNA". It matches the Rfam family "Bacterial small subunit ribosomal RNA", at positions 524 to 792 of the family's 1533-position model. The record is from RNAcentral.
UACGUAGGGUGCGAGCGUUAAUCGGAAUUACUGGGCGUAAAGCGUGCGCAGGCGGUUUGCUAAGACAGGUGUGAAAUCCCCGGGCUUAACCUGGGAACUGCGCUUGUGACUGGCAGGCUAGAGUACGGUAGAGGGGGGUGGAAUUCCUGGUGUAGCAGUGAAAUGCGUAGAUAUCAGGAGGAACACCGAUGGCGAAGGCAGCCCCCUGGGCCUGUACUGACGCUCAUGCACGAAAGCGUGGGGAGCAAACAGGAUUAGAUACCCGUGUA